RNAcentral lists this ribosomal RNA (448 nucleotides) under uncultured bacterium. RNAcentral's name for it is "bacterial SSU rRNA". It matches the Rfam family "Bacterial small subunit ribosomal RNA", at positions 28 to 480 of the family's 1533-position model. The record is from RNAcentral.
GAUGAACGCUGGCGGCGUGCCUAAUACAUGCAAGUCGAACGAGGUGCUUUUUGUAGCAAUACGAGGAGUAUCCUAGUGGCGAACGGGUGAGUAACGCGUGGGUGACCUACCCCAAAGUGUGGAAUAACAGUCCGAAAGGAUUGCUAAUGCCGCAUGUGGUCUGCGAGUUUAGAAAUCGUUGACUAAAGGAGCAAUUCGCUUUGGGAGGGACCUGCGUCCCAUCAGCUAGUUGGUGAGGUAACGGCUCACCAAGGCUACGACGGGUAGGGGACCUGAGAGGGUGGCCCCCCCAANAAUGGAACUGAAACACGGUCCAUACACCGUACGGGUGGCAGCAGUAGGGAAUAUUGCACAAUGGGCGAAAGCCUGAUGCAGCAACGCCGCGUGCGCGAUGAAGGUCUUCGGAUCGUAAAGCGUCUUUUCUGAGAGAUGAGAAAGGACAGUAUCU